This 413-nucleotide ribosomal RNA is filed under the name Rhizophagus sp. CSD-2020a. Its description in RNAcentral is "partial large subunit ribosomal RNA". The record is from RNAcentral. Lineage: Eukaryota; Fungi; Glomeromycota; Glomeromycetes; Glomerales; Glomeraceae.
AGAGUUAAACAGUACGUGAAAUUGUUGAAAGGGAAACGAUUGAAGUCAGUCGUACCGGCGGUAAUCAGCCAUCUGGGUGCGAUUAUGUCGGGUGAUGAGGAGCUUAACCGUCCUCGCGCCUGCGUAUUUGUGCCUUAUUGGUGUACUUAUUCGCAUGGUAGGUUAACAUCAAUUUCGGUCGUCAUAAAAUGGCGGGGGGAAUGUAGCUUUGAUCUCGCAUUAAAGUGUUAUAGCCUCUGGUAGAUGUGAUGAUCGGGAUUGAGGAUUGCAACGAACCCUUCGGGGCCACCCGUCUGGUCUCUGGUGGUCACUCUGGCAUCGAAAGCUUGCUUACGGUCGUCAAAGUUGGUUGCCAAAAGGUUUAGAACGGGUUGAAUUCGUUAAGGAUGUUGACGUAAUGGCUUUAAACGACC